Long non-coding RNA from Homo sapiens (human), 491 nucleotides. NCBI's taxonomy places the organism in Eukaryota, Metazoa, Chordata, Mammalia, Primates, Hominidae. The record is from Ensembl.
UUUUUUGGGAGGGGCAGGUUCUCCCUAUGUUGCCCAGGCUGGUCUUGAAUUCCUGACCCCAAGCAAUCCUCCCACUUCGGCCUCCCAAAGUGCUAGGAUUACAGCCAUGAGCCACUGCUCUCAGCCUUGUGGUCAACUUCUUACAGUGAUUAACACUGGAGUGAGGAGAAGAGAUUCUGAGAAACAUGAGUCCAGCUGCCUAUCUUCUGAAAGAAAGCCACUGAAGUUCUUAUUUUUCUUGUUUCCAGUUAAUGAGCAAAAGGUUCUCAAAAGUGGAAGAAAUCUACAUUAGUUAAGAUGUAGAUACCUAAUAAAUUUUAAAUGCACUCUUGAAAAAAAAAUGUCAUUUAUAUAAGUAUUCCGGGAAUAUGUAACAAACUCCCUGCCUAUUUUUCAAUUCAUUUACAAAUAAUUUUAAUAGUAAACCAUGAAUAGUCACUAGAUUGCAUUAUCAUUAAGAUAUUUUAAAUGGGAAAAAAUUCCCUCAGAUC